Molecule: unclassified non-coding RNA, 402 nt
Filed under: soil metagenome
Description: partial contains 5.8S ribosomal RNA, internal transcribed spacer 2, and large subunit ribosomal RNA
Rfam family: 5.8S ribosomal RNA (bases 1-121)
Source: RNAcentral
GAUGAAGAACGUAGCGAAAUGCGAUAAGUAAUGUGAAUUGCAGAAUUCAGUGAAUCAUCGAAUCUUUGAACGCACCUUGCGCCCUUUGGCUAUUCCGAAGGGCAUGCCUGUUUGAGUAUCGUGAACACCUCAACUCUCAUGGUUUGCCAUGAUGAGCUUGGACUUUGGGGGAUUUGCUGGCCUUUGGUCGGCUCCUCUCAAACGGAUCAGCUUUCCAGUGUUUGGUGGCAUCACGGGUGUGAUAACUAUCUACGCCUGUGGUUUUCUGCCAGAUAACCUUCAGCGAUGGAGGUUCGCUGGGGCUCAUAAAUGUCUCUCUUCAGUGGAGACAGCUUUUUGGACGUUUGAUCUCAAAUCAGGUAGGACUACCCGCUGAACUUAAGCAUAUCAAUAAGCGGAGGA